RNAcentral lists this ribosomal RNA (477 nucleotides) under Gymnetron bipustulatum. Its description in RNAcentral is "partial 16S ribosomal RNA". Lineage: Eukaryota; Metazoa; Arthropoda; Insecta; Coleoptera; Curculionidae. The record is from RNAcentral.
CUUUUGAUUAUAAUUUAAGGUCUAGCCUGCCCACUGAAUUAAUUUUUAAAUGGCUGCGGUAUACUGACCGUGCAAAGGUAGCAUAAUCAUUAGUUUUUUAAUUGAAAGCUGGUAUGAAAGGUUGGAUGAGAAAAUAACUGUCUCUGUUUAAAUUUAUUAGAAKUUUAUUUUUAAGUAAAAAAGCUUAAAUAAUUAUUGAAGACGAGAAGACCCUAUAGAGUUUUAUAAAUUUGAUUAUUGAAAAUUUUAGGAUUAUAAAAGUUAAUAAUUAAAUUUAUUUAGUUGGGGUGAUUGAAAAAUUAAUAAAACUUUUUUUGUAUAAGAACAUAGAUUUAUGAAUAAUUGAUCCUUUUAUUAAGAUUAGAAGAUUAAAUUACCUUAGGGAUAACAGCGUAAUUUUUCUUUAGAGUCCACAUUAAAAGAAAAGAUUGCVACCUCGAUGUUGGAUUAAAAUUAAUUUUUGGUGUAGAAGCUAAA